AGAGAUAAAAGAUCCUGUCUACCAUACCUAUGACCGUACCCCUCUUCUGUGAGAUGGGAUGCCGAGACAUAAAAAUUCAAGUAUCUACCCGAGAAUAUUGAUUUGUAGUACCAAUCGAAUAUAAUAGUAUUAUUUUCAAUGAAAAGAGAUGUAAAUCUAAGAAGUUAAUCUGGCUACCACCAAUUUCCGAAGUAAAUUGUGAUCUCGAGUGUAUUGAAUUAAACUUCCUUGUCAUGGACGUAAUCAUCUGGUACUGCCAUUAAAAUAUCGUCCACAUAUCUAUAGAAAAAAGGUUAGAUUGCCGAGAUAAUUGCAACAGACAAGAAUGAUCAUGGUUCAACUACGUCGUAUGGAAAAACGACAAAUUUUUAUUGAAAAUAAAACCAAUGAAAAUGCGAAAAUCAUUAAACGAUUAUUGCGACAAUCUGUAAUAAAAAGAUCAGUGAAAUCACCAGGAAUUUUAUUUACAACUGUAGACGAUUUCUUGGCCUUCGAAGAAGUUGAUGAAAUUUAUAAUAAUUUGGUAAUAAUUUUUUUUAAAUAUAAAUAUUUUCUUAU
Molecule: long non-coding RNA, 558 nt
Organism: Pogonomyrmex barbatus (red harvester ant)
Lineage: Eukaryota; Metazoa; Arthropoda; Insecta; Hymenoptera; Formicidae
Source: RefSeq, a predicted model, not a curated record